This is a non-coding RNA of Brachypodium distachyon (stiff brome), 136 nucleotides long. Lineage: Eukaryota; Viridiplantae; Streptophyta; Magnoliopsida; Poales; Poaceae. The record is from Rfam.
UUUGUACUUCCUCCGUCCAACAAAAGAUAUCUUAAUUUUGACUAAAUUUAAAUAUAUCUAUACAUUAAGUCAUAUCUAGAUACAUCCAAAUUUUAACAAACUUAUGAUAUCUUUUGUUGGACGGAGGAAGGAUGUA